GUAUAAGCAAUGAGCAAGAGAGUAGAACACUUGGUAUCGCGCAGAGAGAAGACCCUUGGCUGAAAGGUCUUUCGAUUCAAUGUUCGAACGUAGCUUGCGAGCUGUCAGACUGAACGCACAGUAGGCCUGACCGGAGUGACAUCCGUUAACGAUUGUUAUUAAGAGGGGUUUAAAAGCCCAAUUUAGGUGGUACCGCGAAAAGCACUUCGUCCUAUUU
This 217-nucleotide non-coding RNA is filed under the name Secundilactobacillus silagei. Its description in RNAcentral is "Lactobacillus silagei T-box sequence". It matches the Rfam family "T-box leader". From Rfam's summary of the family: Uncharged tRNA acts as the effector for transcription antitermination of genes in the T-box leader family. T-boxes are found upstream of many aminoacyl-tRNA synthetase genes and some amino acid biosynthetic genes usually in Gram-positive bacteria. Lineage: Bacteria; Bacillati; Bacillota; Bacilli; Lactobacillales; Lactobacillaceae. The record is from RNAcentral.